GACGAACGCUGGCGGCGUGCUUAACACAUGCAAGUCGAACGGAAAGGCCCUGCUUUUGUGGGGUGCUCGAGUGGCGAACGGGUGAGUAACACGUGAGUAACCUGCCCUUGACUUUGGGAUAACUUCAGGAAACUGGGGCUAAUACCGGAUAGGAGCUCCUGCUGCAUGGUGGGGGUUGGAAAGUUUCGGCGGUUGGGGAUGGACUCGCGGCUUAUCAGCUUGUUGGUGGGGUAGUGGCUUACCAAGGCUUUGACGGGUAGCCGGCCUGAGAGGGUGACCGGCCACAUUGGGACUGCGAUACGGCCCAGAAUCCUACGGGAGGCAGCAGUGGGGAAUAUUGCACAAUGGGCGGAAGCCUGAUGCAGCAACGCUGGGUGCGGGAUGAUGGCCUUCGGGUUGUAAACCGCUUUCGCCUGUGACGAAGCGUGAGUGACGGUAAUGGGUAAAGAAGCACCGGCUAACUACGUG
RNAcentral lists this ribosomal RNA (468 nucleotides) under uncultured bacterium. Its description in RNAcentral is "partial 16S ribosomal RNA". It matches the Rfam family "Bacterial small subunit ribosomal RNA", at positions 28 to 507 of the family's 1533-position model. The record is from RNAcentral.